UCGAGAAUCUUCGGCAAUGGGCGCAAGCCUGACCGAGCGACGCCGCGUGGAGGAUGAAGGCCUUCGGGUUGUAAACUCCUGUCGAGGGGGAGGAAGGCGCAAGCUUGACCUAUCCCUGGAGGAAGCACGGGCUAAGUUCGUGCCAGCAGCCGCGGUAAGACGAACCGUGCGAACGUUAUUCGGAAUCACUGGGCUUAAAGCGCGUGUAGGCGGAUGGGGACGUCGGUUGUUGAAAGCCCCCGGCUCAACCGGGGAACUGGCGCCGAAACGCCCUGUCUUGAGGAGCGUAGGGGGACCUGGAACUUCCGGUGGAGCGGUGAAAUGCGUUGAGAUCGGAAGGAACGCCCGUGGCGAAAGCGAGGUCCUGGACGUUAUCUGACGCUGAGACGCGAAAGCUAGGGGAGCGAACGGGAUUAGAUACCCCCGUAGUCC
This 432-nucleotide ribosomal RNA is filed under the name uncultured bacterium. RNAcentral describes it as "bacterial SSU rRNA". It matches the Rfam family "Bacterial small subunit ribosomal RNA", at positions 355 to 796 of the family's 1533-position model. The record is from RNAcentral.